AGCAGCCGCGGUAAUUCCAGCUCCAAUAGCGUAUAUUAAAGUUGUUGCAGUUAAAAAGCUCGUAGUUGAAUUUCGGGAUCAGUAGGUUGGUCAUACCUCUGGUAUGUACUGGUCUCACUGAUUCCUCCCUCUUGAAGAACUGUAAUGUCAUUAAUUUGAUGUUGCGGGGAAUCAGGACUGUUACUUUGAAAAAAUUAGAGUGUUUAAAGCAGGCUCACGCUUGAAUACAUUAGCAUGGAAUAAUGAAAUAGGACGUAUGAUCCUAUUUUUGUUGGUUUCUAGGAUUGACGUAAUGAUUAAUAGGGAUAGUUGGGGGGCAUUAGUAUUCAAUUGUCAGAGGUGAAAUUCUUGGAUUUAUUGAAGACUAACUACUGCGAAAGCAUUUGCCAAGGAUGUUUUCAUUAAUCAAGAACGAAAGUUAGGGGAUCGAAGACGAUCAGAUACCGUCGUAGUCUUAACCAUAAACUAUGCCGACUAGGGAUCGGAUGANGUUAAUUUUUUUAAUGACUCAUUCGGCGCC
RNAcentral lists this ribosomal RNA (520 nucleotides) under uncultured Glomus. RNAcentral describes it as "SSU rRNA". It matches the Rfam family "Eukaryotic small subunit ribosomal RNA", at positions 569 to 1087 of the family's 1831-position model. The record is from RNAcentral. Lineage: Eukaryota; Fungi; Glomeromycota; Glomeromycetes; Glomerales; Glomeraceae.